UACGUAGGGUGCAAGCGUUGUCCGGAAUUAUUGGGCGUAAAGAGCUCGUAGGCGGUCUGUCGCGUCUGCUGUGAAAACUCGGGGCUUAACCCCGGGCCUGCAGUGGGUACGGGCAGACUAGAGUGCGGUAGGGGAGACUGGAAUUCCUGGUGUAGCGGUGAAAUGCGCAGAUAUCAGGAAGAACACCCGUGGCGAAGGCGGCUCUCUGGGACGGUACUGACGCUGAGGCGCGAAAGCCAGGGGAGCAAACGGG
This 253-nucleotide ribosomal RNA is filed under the name uncultured bacterium. RNAcentral describes it as "partial 16S ribosomal RNA". It matches the Rfam family "Bacterial small subunit ribosomal RNA", at positions 524 to 776 of the family's 1533-position model. The record is from RNAcentral.